GAUGAACGCUGGCGGCGUGCCUAAUACAUGCAAGUCGAGCGAACAGAUGAGGAGCUUGCUCCUCUGACGUUAGCGGCGGACGGGUGAGUAACACGUGGAUAACCUACCUAUAAGACUGGGAUAACUUCGGGAAACCGGAGCUAAUACCGGAUAAUAUAUUGAACCGCAUGGUUCAAUAGUGAAAGACGGUUUUGCUGUCACUUAUAGAUGGAUCCGCGCCGCAUUAGCUAGUUGGUAAGGUAACGGCUUACCAAGGCAACGAUGCGUAGCCGACCUGAGAGGGUGAUCGGCCACACUGGAACUGAGACACGGUCCAGACUCCUACGGGAGGCAGCAGUAGGGAAUCUUCCGCAAUGGGCGAAAGCCUGACGGAGCAACGCCGCGUGAGUGAUGAAGGUAUUCGGAUCGUAAAACUCUGUUAUUAGGGAAGAACAAAUGUGUAAGUAACUAUGCACGUCUUGACGGUACCUAAUCAGAAAGCCACGGCUAACUACGUG
RNAcentral lists this ribosomal RNA (497 nucleotides) under uncultured bacterium. Its description in RNAcentral is "partial 16S ribosomal RNA". It matches the Rfam family "Bacterial small subunit ribosomal RNA", at positions 28 to 507 of the family's 1533-position model. The record is from RNAcentral.